AACUAACGCUGGCGGCGUGCCUAACACAUGCAAGUCGUACGAGAAAGCCGGCUUCGGCUGGUGAGUAAAGUGGCGCACGGGUGAGUAACGCGUGGAUAAUCUGCCCUUAAGUGUGGAAUAACGUACCGAAAGGUGCGCUAAUACCGCAUAAUGCCUGGCAACACAAGUUGUCCGGCCAAAGAAGGCCUCUGUUUACAAGCUUUCGCUUCAGGAUGAGUCCGCGUACCAUUAGCUUGUUGGUGGGUAAUGGCCUACCAAGGCUGCGAUGGUUAGCUGGUCUGAGAGGAUGAUCAGCCACACUGGAACUGAGACACGGUCCAGACUCCUACGGGAGCAGCAGUGAGGAAUAUUGCGCAAUGGGGGCAACCCUGACGCAGCAACGCCGCGUGAGUGAGGAAGGUUUUCGGACUGUAAAGCUCUGUCGAGCGGGAAGAAGUGUACCAUGGCUAAUAUCCAUGAUAUUGACGUACG
Molecule: ribosomal RNA, 471 nt
Filed under: uncultured bacterium
Lineage: Bacteria
Description: bacterial SSU rRNA
Rfam family: Bacterial small subunit ribosomal RNA
Source: RNAcentral